AUGGCUGGUGAUUUCAAUGAGAUUUUACAUGCUGAUGAGAAAGACGGUGGCGCCGCACGUCCUCGGCGCUGUAUGCAAGUUUUUAACGACGCCUUAAGUGAUUGCGGCUUGGAUGAUCUUGGGUACACGGGCGACAAAUUUUCUUGGCGCCGUGGGCAGAUAAGAGAACGGCUGGAUCGGGCAACUGGAAAUUUGCAGUGGGCUAAUCUUUCCCCUGGUUUUAGUGUAAGUAAUGAGGAGUUUGAUAAAUCACACCAUAAGCCAAUUCUUAUUACUACAGAUCAUUUGUUAGACUUGCAACGAGGGGGCCAUCUGGACCUCGGAAGUUUGAAGCACGAUGGUUAG
This 345-nucleotide ribosomal RNA is filed under the name Triticum aestivum (bread wheat). RNAcentral describes it as "partial small subunit ribosomal RNA". Lineage: Eukaryota; Viridiplantae; Streptophyta; Magnoliopsida; Poales; Poaceae. The record is from RNAcentral.